GACAGAGGGGGCGAGCGUUGUUCGGAAUUACUGGGUGUAAAGCGCGUGUAGGCGGCUAAGUGUGUCGAUUGUGAAAGCCCCCGGCUCAACCGGGGAAAGUCGAUUGAAACUGCUUGGCUAGAGUACGGGAGAGGGGGAUGGAAUUCCAGGGGUAGAGGUGAAAUUCGUAGAUAUCUGGAGGAACACCGAGAGCGAAGGCAGUCCCCUGGACCGUUUCUGACGCUGGGACGCGAAAGCGUGGGGAGCAAACAGG
This 253-nucleotide ribosomal RNA is filed under the name uncultured bacterium. Its description in RNAcentral is "partial 16S ribosomal RNA". It matches the Rfam family "Bacterial small subunit ribosomal RNA", at positions 524 to 776 of the family's 1533-position model. The record is from RNAcentral.